Molecule: long non-coding RNA, 780 nt
Organism: Brassica oleracea var. oleracea
Lineage: Eukaryota; Viridiplantae; Streptophyta; Magnoliopsida; Brassicales; Brassicaceae
Exons: 2
Source: RefSeq, a predicted model, not a curated record
UUUUCUUCCUUGUUAUAUUUUUCUCUACCGUCUCUGCGUAAAAUUAUCUGUGUCUCCUUUCUCACACACACAACUUCUUUACCUCUCCCCUCUUUAUUACAGAUUUAUUCAUAUUCAGAUCCUAACACAGAUCCUAACAGCUCAACCAACAAAGCUCCAUUAAACUCAGCAAAGAUGCUCUCUUCCUAUUUGCAUCUGCCGCCGGCCUAAAAAUUAUGUAUUGCUCUUAAAAUCGACUGUGGAUUUCAUCUUCAAAUGUUUGGAUCUAGAUCGUUGCAACAACAAUCUGCAAAGCUAUCGUCUUGUUUGAGGGAUUAUGACCAACUGUUCUAAAACUUUGCUCAGUAGGUAUAUGAGGUUGGACUUUCUAUUUGUUCCAUUGAUCCUUCUCAUAAGUUCAUUUGGUCUAAUGAAUAUGGAGUUUGGGUUGAUGAGUUUGAAGCCAAGGAUGCAAACUCCACUGUGGUUUGCAGUGUGCAAGUGGAUAUCGAUCACAUGUUGUACACGUGGAUAUAAUAAUCUAACUGUACAUGUGGAUAAUAAUACAAUAUGUGUACACCACAUAAUACAGUAUGUGUACACUUGAUAGUUCUUACAUGUUCUUGUGUACUAAAAAUUUGAACUACAAUCAAUCUAGAUAUCAUAAUAGAUAUAACACUUAUGUACAUCUACUCCAAAAACUUUCAUUUAUCCAAAGUACAUAUAUGUACAUGUUCUUGUGUACUAAAAAAUAUGUGGACAUCGUUUCGUGUACACGUGGAUAACGUUACACGUCGAUCA